GAGGAGGUAUCGGAGGUUGAUCAGUUGGAGCUUCACUACGCGGUGCCGCCCCAGAAGACGAAGGCAGAUGCGGUUGGAACAAACCCACAAACCUCCGGUGAUCAAGUAAAAUUUGACCAUCAGUGUCUUGCAGCUGGUCAAUUUUCCUCUUCAUGUUUGUGGCAUAAUUGUGUGCAAGCUUGUGCAAUUGUUUAUUUUCAUGCUUGAGUCCUUUAAUCUCCUCUUUGAGACUCUGUAUUUCAGCCACCAACGAUUCAACGUGACGGGUUCGAGCAAAUAGGCGUUGGGCCAUGUUGGACACGGAACCGGCACACUGCACGCUAAGAGCCAGAGACUCCUUAACCGCCAAUUCAUCAGAUCGUCUAGCGAGCAGUCUGUUAUCUCUGGGGGUGACAAGGUUCCGGG
Molecule: long non-coding RNA, 405 nt
Filed under: Malus domestica (apple)
Lineage: Eukaryota; Viridiplantae; Streptophyta; Magnoliopsida; Rosales; Rosaceae
Description: long non-coding RNA (MDOM_LNC010614)
Source: RNAcentral